UCGAACGGUAGAGGGGGCAACCCCUUGAGAGUGGCGAACGGGUGAGUAAUGCAUCGGAACGUGCCCGGUAGUGGGGGAUAGCCCGGCGAAAGCCGGAUUAAUACCGCAUACGACCUGAGGGUGAAAGCGGGGGACCGCAAGGCCUCGCGCUAUUGGAGCGGCCGAUGUCAGAUUAGGUAGUUGGUGGGGUAAAGGCCUACCAAGCCUGCGAUCUGUAGCUGGUCUGAGAGGACGACCAGCCACACUGGGACUGAGACACGGCCCAGACUCCUACGGGAGGCAGCAGUGGGGAAUUUUGGACAAUGGGCGCAAGCCUGAUCCAGCCAUGCCGCGUGCGGGAAGAAGGCCUUCGGGUUGUAAGCCGCUUUUGUCGGGGAAGAAAUCUUCUGAGCUAAUACCUCGGGAGGAUGACGGUACCCGAAGAAUAAGCACCGGCUAACUACGUGCCAGCAGCCGCGGUAAUACGUAGGGUGCAAGCGUUAAUCGGAAUUACUGGGCGUAAAGCGUGCGCAGGCGGUUGUGCAAGACAGAUGUGAAAUCCCCGGGCUCAACCUGGGAACUGCAUUUGUGACUGCAUGACUGGAGUACGGCAGAGGGGGAUGGAAUUCCGCGUGUAGCAGUGAAAUGCGUAGAUAUGCGGAGGAACACCGAUGGCGAAGGCAGUCCCCUGGGCCUGUACUGACGCUCAUGCAC
Molecule: ribosomal RNA, 693 nt
Filed under: uncultured bacterium
Lineage: Bacteria
Description: bacterial SSU rRNA
Rfam family: Bacterial small subunit ribosomal RNA
Source: RNAcentral